AAUAUUGCGCAAUGGACGGAAGUCUGACGCAGCGACGACGCGUGAGCGAUGAAGGCCUUCGGGUCNUCAAGCUCUGUCCUUGGGGANGAAGGUCUUCGGACUUGACGGUACCCAAGAAGAAAGCCCGUGCUACCUACGGUCCAGCAGCCGCGGAAAUACGUAGGGGGCGAGCGUUGUCCGGAAUUACUGGGCGUAAAGGGUGCGUAGGCGGCACUUUAAGUCAGAUGUGAAAGGCCACGGCUUAACCGUGGGAUUGCAUUUGAAACUGGAGGGCUUGAGUGUCGUAGAGGGUAGUGGAAUUCCCAGUGUAGCGGUGAAAUGCGUAGAUAUUGGGAGGAACACCAGUGGCGAAGGCGACUACCUGGACGAUAACUGACGCUGAGGCACGAAAGCUAGGGGAGCAAAC
Molecule: ribosomal RNA, 406 nt
Filed under: uncultured bacterium
Lineage: Bacteria
Description: partial 16S ribosomal RNA
Rfam family: Bacterial small subunit ribosomal RNA
Source: RNAcentral